This 526-nucleotide ribosomal RNA is filed under the name uncultured bacterium. Its description in RNAcentral is "bacterial SSU rRNA". It matches the Rfam family "Bacterial small subunit ribosomal RNA", at positions 777 to 1303 of the family's 1533-position model. The record is from RNAcentral.
AAUAGAUACCCGGGUAGUCCACGCCGUAAACGAUGAGUGCUAGGUGUUGGGGACUCCAAUCCUCAGUGCCGCAGCUAACGCAAUAAGCACUCCGCCUGGGGAGUACGGCCGCAAGGCUGAAACUCAAAGGGAAUUGACGGGGACCCGCACAAGCGGUGGAGCAUGUGGUUUAAUUCGAAGCAACGCGAAGAACCUUACCAGGGCUUGACAUCCCUCUGACCCCUCUAGAGAUAGAGGCUCUCUUCGGAGCAGAGGUGACAGGUGGUGCAUGGUUGUCGUCAGCUCGUGUCGUGAGAUGUUGGGUUAAGUCCCGCAACGAGCGCAACCCUUGUCCUUAGUUGCCAGCAUUGAGUUGGGCACUCUAAGGAGACUGCCGUCGACAAGACGGAGGAAGGUGGGGAUGACGUCAAAUCAUCAUGCCCCUUAUGUCCUGGGCUACACACGUGCUACAAUGGAUGGUACAACGGGCUGCGAACUCGCGAGAGUAAGCCAAUCCCAAAAAACCGAUUCUCAGUUCGGAUUGUAC